UCCAGACUCCUACGGGAGGCAGCAGUGGGGAAUAUUGGACAAUGGGGGAAACCCUGAUCCAGCGACGCCGCGUGAGUGAAGAAGUAUUUCGGUAUGUAAAGCUCUAUCAGCAGGGAAGAAGAAAUGACGGUACCUGACUAAGAAGCCCCGGCUAACUACGUGCCAGCAGCCGCGGUAAUACGUAGGGGGCAAGCGUUAUCCGGAUUUACUGGGUGUAAAGGGAGCGUAGACGGUAAGGCAAGUCAGAUGUGAAAGCCCGGGGCUCAACCGCGGGACUGCAUUUGAAACUGGCCUACUGGAGUGCAGGAGAGGUAAGUGGAAUUCCUAGUGUAGCGGUGAAAUGCGUAGAUAUUAGGAGGAACACCAGUGGCGAAGGCGGCCUGCUGGACCGAAACUGACGUUGAGGCUCGAAAGCGUGGGGAGCAAACAGGAUUAGAUACCCCGGUAC
This 448-nucleotide ribosomal RNA is filed under the name uncultured bacterium. RNAcentral's name for it is "bacterial SSU rRNA". It matches the Rfam family "Bacterial small subunit ribosomal RNA", at positions 330 to 793 of the family's 1533-position model. The record is from RNAcentral.